Non-coding RNA from Polyodon spathula (Mississippi paddlefish), 87 nucleotides. The record is from the annotation of a RefSeq genome assembly. Lineage: Eukaryota; Metazoa; Chordata; Actinopteri; Acipenseriformes; Polyodontidae.
GACGAGGUGGCCGAGUGGUUAAGGCGAUGGACUGCUAAUCCAUUGUGCUCUGGUUAAAACGCGUGGGUUCGAAUCCCAUCCUCGUCG